CCGUGCUAGGCGGGGAGGUAGCGGUGCCCUGUACUCGCAAUCCGCUCAAGCGAGGCUGAAUCCCUUCUCGAGGCUAGUCUGCUUUAGGGUCUGCCUUAAGUAAGUGGUGUUGACGUUUUGGUCCUACGCAAUGAAAAUCCAUGAACCCUGUCAGGUCCGGAAGGAAGCAGCAGUAAGUGGAACCUUUCAUGUGCCGUAGGGUUGCCUGAACCGAGCUAACUGCUUAAGUAACGCCUGGGGCAACUAGUCGACAGAAGGUGCACGG
This is a non-coding RNA of 265 nucleotides. It matches the Rfam family "Bacterial large signal recognition particle RNA". Rfam says of the family: The signal recognition particle (SRP) is a universally conserved ribonucleoprotein involved in the co-translational targeting of proteins to membranes. Archaeal SRP consists of a 7S RNA and homologues of the eukaryotic SRP19 and SRP54 proteins. In most bacteria, the SRP consists of a 4.5S RNA and the Ffh protein (a homologue of the eukaryotic SRP54 protein). The record is from Rfam.